GACAGAGGGUGCAAGCGUUGUUCGGAAUUACUGGGCGUAAAGGGCGUGUAGGCGGUCAGGUCAGUCUGAUGUGAAAUCAUCAUCGCUUAACGGGAUGUCCGCAUCGGAAACUGCUUGACUUGAGUAUAGGAGAGGAUAACGGAAUUCCUGGUGUAGCGGUGGAAUGUGUAGAUAUCAGGAGGAACACCUGUGGCGAAGGCGGUUAUCUGGCCUAAUACUGACGCUGAGGCGCGAAAGCUAGGGGA
RNAcentral lists this ribosomal RNA (245 nucleotides) under uncultured bacterium. RNAcentral describes it as "partial 16S ribosomal RNA". It matches the Rfam family "Bacterial small subunit ribosomal RNA", at positions 524 to 767 of the family's 1533-position model. The record is from RNAcentral.